CUAUUCAUUCAAACUGAAGACUGAGUGGUCUUUGAAGCAAGAUAUAAACCCCACAUUCCACUGCUUUUCCAGAUUUUACCUUAACAGAUCUACAGAAGUACUUCUGCACGCCAUAUACAGGAGUGAAGUGCUAUCACCCACCAUUUUAAGCAAGGAUAUACUGCAGCUGGGUAGCUUGUCACUCCUAAGCAAAUGAGCAAGAGGAAUAUCUGCAAUGACAAGGCUAUGGUAUUUCUGAUCUUCACAGAAGUUACUGUCAGAGCACAGCAGACACGCCUACACAGCUAAUUUGUUCUUAUCACUGAAUAACUGUGGUUACAGAAGAGAC
Molecule: long non-coding RNA, 328 nt
Organism: Passer domesticus (house sparrow)
Lineage: Eukaryota; Metazoa; Chordata; Aves; Passeriformes; Passeridae
Exons: 3
Source: RefSeq, a predicted model, not a curated record